This 29-nucleotide non-coding RNA is filed under the name Homo sapiens (human). The record is from RNAcentral. Lineage: Eukaryota; Metazoa; Chordata; Mammalia; Primates; Hominidae.
GACCCUCAGACCAGGUAGGCUGUGCACUC